GACGAACGCUGGCGGCGUGCUUAACACAUGCAAGUCGAACGGAAAGGCCUGCUUUCCCUUGUGGAUUGCGGGUACUCGAGUGGCGAACGGGUGAGUAACACGUGAGUGAUCUGCCCCCAACUUGGGUAUAAGCCUGGGAAACUGGGUCUAAUUCCCGAUAGGACUGCAGGGUGGUGCCUGUGGUGGAAAACGAUUUUCUAGUGGUUGGGGAUGAGCUCGCGGCCUAUCAGCUUGUUGGUGGGGUAAUGGCCUACCAAGGCGGCGACGGGUAGCCGGCCUGAGAGGGUGGACGGCAACAUUGGGACUGAGAUACGGCCCAGACGCCUACGGGAGGCAGCAGUGGGGAAUAUUGCACAAGGGGCGGAAGCCUGAUGCAGCGACGCCGCGUGGGGGAUGACGGCCUUCGGGUUGUAAACUCCUUUCGACCGCGAGGAAGCCACCUGGUUGGAAGGGUGGUGACGGUAGUGGUAGAAGAAGCACCGGCUAACUACGUG
This 494-nucleotide ribosomal RNA is filed under the name uncultured bacterium. RNAcentral's name for it is "partial 16S ribosomal RNA". It matches the Rfam family "Bacterial small subunit ribosomal RNA", at positions 28 to 507 of the family's 1533-position model. The record is from RNAcentral.